Molecule: ribosomal RNA, 1194 nt
Filed under: Thecaphora spilanthis
Lineage: Eukaryota; Fungi; Basidiomycota; Ustilaginomycetes; Urocystidales; Glomosporiaceae
Description: SSU rRNA
Rfam family: Eukaryotic small subunit ribosomal RNA
Source: RNAcentral
CCAAGCUUGAAUUCGUAGUCAUAUGCUUGUCUCAAAGAUUAAGCCAUGCAUGUCUAAGUAUAAGCGUUAUACAAAGUGAAACUGCGAAUGGCUCAUUAAAUCAGUUAUAGUUUAUUUGAUGAAGAAAAGCUACAUGGAUAACUGUGGUAAAUCUAGAGCUAAUACAUGCCUUGUAAUGCCCCGACUUCGGAAGGGGUGCAUUUAUUAGAUUAAAUCCAACGCCUUCGGGCCUUGGGGAGUCAUAAUAACUUCACCAAUCGCAUGGGCUUGCCCCGGCGAUGCUUCAUUCAAAUAUCUGCCCUAUCAACUUUGAUGGUACGGUAGUGGCCUACCAUGGUUGCAACGGGUAACGGGGAAUAAGGGUUCGAUUCCGGAGAGGGAGCCUGAGAAACGGCUACCACAUCCAAGGAAGGCAGCAGGCGCGCAAAUUAUCCAAUCCCGACACGGGGAGAUAGUGACAAAAAAUAACGAUACAGGGCUUUUUAAAGGUCUUGUAAUUGGAAUGAGUACAAUUUAAAUCCCUUAACGAGGAACAAUUGGAGGGCAAGUUUGGUGCCAGCAGCCGCGGUAAUUCCAACUCCAAUAGCGUAUAUUAAAGUUGUUGCAGUUAAAAAGCUCGUAGUUGAAUUUGGGCCCCGGUUGGGUGGUCCGCCGCAAGGCGUGUACUGCUUUUUAAGCUGGGGCUUACACCCAUUGGUGAACCUUGGUGGGUCUUUGGCCCGCUAAGGGGAACCAGGGAAUUUACUUUGAAAAAAUUAGAGUGUUCAAAGCAGGCCUAACGGCUCGAAUAGAUUAGCAUGGAAUAAGGGAAUAGGACGUUGCGAUCCUGUUUCGUUGGUUUUAAGGAUCGCCGUAAUGAUCAAUAGGGACAGCUCGGGGGCAUUAGUAUUCACAAGCUAGAGGUGAAAUUCUUGGAUUUUGUGAAGACUAACUUCUGCGAAAGCAUUUGCCAAGGAUGUUUUCAUUAAUCAAGAACGAAGGUUAGGGGAUCGAAAACGAUUAGAUACCGUUGUAGUCUUAACAGUAAACUAUGCCAGCUAGGGAUCGGUCGGCGCUUUAAUACACUAUGGCCCGAUCGGCACCUUUGCGAGAAAUCAAAGCAUUUGGGUUCUGGGGGGAGUAUGGUCGCAAGGCUGAAACUUAAAGAAAUUGACGGAAGGGCACCACCAGGAGUGGAGCCUGCGGCUUAAUUUG